Long non-coding RNA from Numida meleagris (helmeted guineafowl), 1998 nucleotides. The record is from Ensembl. NCBI's taxonomy places the organism in Eukaryota, Metazoa, Chordata, Aves, Galliformes, Numididae.
GGUGGGGGGGCAGCGCGGGUGGGCUGCGGGUCUAGAGGGGCCUGAACCCCGGUGCCAAACUGGUCAGAACUGGGGGCUCAAAGCCAACGGUGAGACACGCAGAGCGGGCGGGAGGGGAGCAGCACGUGGGGUACGCGCGGCGGUGCGCUGCUGUUGUGGAAUGAUGUGGGUUUGGUUGGAAGGGUCCUUAAAGGUCAUAGAGCCAUGGGAUGGUUGGGUUGGAAGGGCCCUUAAAGAUCAUAGAGCCGUGGGAUAGUUGGGUUGGAACGGUCCUUAAAGACCAUAGAACUAUGGCAUCGCUGGUUUGGAAGGGUCCUUAAAGAUCACAGAACCACAGGAUGGUUCAGCUGGAAGGGUCCUUAAAGGUCAUAGUACCACGGGAUGUUUGGGUUGGAAGGGUCCUUAAAGGUCAUAGAGCCGUGGGAUGGUUGGGUUGGAAGGGUCCUUAAAGAUCAUAGAGCCGUGGAAUAGUUGGGUUGGAAGGGUCCUUAAAGACUAUAGAACUAUGGCAUCGCUGGUUUGGAAGGGUCCUUAAAGGUCAUAGAGCCAUGGGAUGGUUGGGUUGGAAGGGUCCUUAAAGGUCAUAGUACCAUGGGAUGGUUGGGUUGGAAGGGUCCUUAAAGAUCAUAUAGCCAAAGAGUGGUUGGGACGGAAGGGUCCUUAAAGAUUGAAGAACCACUGAAAGGGUUGGGUUGCUAGGGUCCUUAAAGAUCAAAGAACCACAACACGGGUGCUGGGCUCUGGGUGCCGAUCCGCUUUGUUUCUGGAGGUCACUGCUGCGUUGUAUCCGGCGCGGUGCGUCCCGUCGGCUCCAUCGCGGCGUGGCCAUGCCGCGGCCGUAAUGCGCUUGUUCCUCCUGCAGCCAACAGACACACGGACAUCGGUGACAUCAGCCAGCACCUGGAUACCAUGCAGCUCGGCGAUGUUUUUGGUCACCCGGCGGCACCCGCCGCCGCUUCUCUGCCCUCCCCGGUGCCGGUAAGUGCCACCACAUCCCCCAUUAUCCCCAGGGGCCGUGGCGGUGAUGGGUGCCUCCGGGCGACGCUCCCCGCUCCCCAUCUCCUUUCCCCCCGUCGUCCAUCCGUCUGUGCACGUCGCAGGCGGGCUGGUCGUGUCCGAAAUGCACCUACAUCAACAAACCCACGCGGCCCGGCUGCGAGAUGUGCAGCACCGACCGCCCUCCCGACUACGUGGUGCCCGGCGGCUACGAACCGGACGAGAUGGAGCUGUGGAGGAUGCAGCAGGAGCAGGAGGGGAUGCUGCAGUACCAGCAGACGCUGGAGGCGGAGCGGCUGCAGAACUUCCAACAGCUGCUGCAGCUGGAGCAGGAGGGGCUGGUGCCCAACCAGGAGGCGAUGGAGUGCCGCAUCUGCUACCAGCACCUCCCCCCGGGCCAGGGGGUGCUGCUGCGCGAGUGUCUGCACAGCUUCUGCCGGUACGGCGCAUGGGAGGUGCGGGGAGCCCGACCCCGAACCCCCACCCGCGGUGACGGCGCCUCUCCCGCAGGGACUGCUUGCGCCAGGUGAUCAACUACAGCGAGGAGCCGGCGGUGGCGUGCCCCUACCGCGACGACUCCUACGCCUGCAGCAGCCACCUCCAGGAGCGCGAGAUCCGCGCGGUCAGUGCCCAGAGCUCGGCCAGCGGGGCGAGGGAGGGGCUGCUUGGCCAGCGGUUGACCAGUGGUUGACCAGUGGUUGACCGUGAGCCAGCAGUCACCCAACCAUUGGCCAGCAGUUGACCAGUUUGUCACCAAUGGUUGAUCAGUUUGUCACCAAGGGUUGACCAACAGUUGGCCAACAGUUGACCGUGAGCCAGCAGUCACCCAACCGUUGACCAGUGGUUCACCAAUGGUUCACCAGUGGUUGACCAGUGGUUCGACAAUGGUUGACCAACUGUUGGCCAACAGUUGACCAUGAACAAGCAGCCAACCAACCAUUGGCCAGGGGCUGACUAGUGGUUCACCAGUGGUUGACCAGUUUGUUGCCAGCGGUUGACCUA